UACAGAGGGGGCAAGCGUUGUUCGGAAUUACUGGGCGUAAAGGGCGCGUAGGCGGCCUUCUAAGUCGAACGUGAAAUCCCCGGGCUCAACCCGGGAACUGCGUCCGAUACUGGAAGGCUUGAAUCCGGGAGAGGGAUGCGGAAUUCCAGGUGUAGCGGUGAAAUGCGUAGAUAUCUGGAGGAACACCGGUGGCGAAGGCGGGUCUCUGGGCAACAACUGACGCUGAGGAGCGAAAGCGUGGGGAGCGAACAGG
Molecule: ribosomal RNA, 253 nt
Filed under: uncultured bacterium
Lineage: Bacteria
Description: partial 16S ribosomal RNA
Rfam family: Bacterial small subunit ribosomal RNA
Source: RNAcentral